This 252-nucleotide ribosomal RNA is filed under the name uncultured bacterium. RNAcentral's name for it is "partial 16S ribosomal RNA". It matches the Rfam family "Bacterial small subunit ribosomal RNA", at positions 524 to 776 of the family's 1533-position model. The record is from RNAcentral.
UACGGAGGAUGCGAGCGUUAUCCGGAUUUAUUGGGUUUAAAGGGUGCGUAGGCGGACGCUUAAGUCAGCGGUAAAAUUGCGGGGCUCAACCUCGUCGAGCCGUUGAAACUGGGUGCCUUGAGUGGGCGAGAAGUACGCGGAAUGCGUGGUGUAGCGGUGAAAUGCAUAGAUAUCACGCAGAACUCCGAUUGCGAAGGCAGCGUACCGGCGCCCAACUGACGCUGAAGCACGAAGGCGUAGGUAUCGAACAGG